Molecule: ribosomal RNA, 430 nt
Filed under: uncultured bacterium
Lineage: Bacteria
Description: partial 16S ribosomal RNA
Rfam family: Bacterial small subunit ribosomal RNA
Source: RNAcentral
CCUACGGGAGGCAGCAGUAGGGAAUCUUGCGCAAUGGGCGAAAGCCUGACGCAGCAACGCCGCGUGGGGGAUGAAGGCCUUCGGGUUGUAAACUCCUUUCAGCGGGAACGCGGUACCCGCAGAAGAAGCCCCGGCCAACUACGUGCCAGCAGCCGCGGUGAUACGUAGGGGGCGAGCGUUGUCCGGAUUUAUUGGGCGUAAAGAGCUCGUAGGCGGUUUGGCAAGUCAGGUGUGAAACCUCCAGGCUUAACCUGGAGACGCCACUUGAGACUGUAUGACUAGAGUCUGGUAGGGGACCAUGGAAUUCCUGGUGUAGCGGUGAAAUGCGCAGAUAUCAGGAGGAACACCAGUAGCGAAGGCGGUGGUCUGGGCAGACUGACGCUGAGGAGCGAAAGCGUGGGGAGCAACAGGAUUAGAUACCCUUGUAGUC